This 539-nucleotide long non-coding RNA is filed under the name Bos grunniens (domestic yak). Its description in RNAcentral is "lncRNA (ENSBGRG00000005892.1)". Lineage: Eukaryota; Metazoa; Chordata; Mammalia; Artiodactyla; Bovidae. The record is from RNAcentral.
CCCCUUGUUUUCAAACUGAAUUGUUUCAGUGGUAGCUUGGUGUGUCAGCUUGUAAGUCUAUAAAACAGUUUUAUACCAGCUGGAGAUUCAACAUGCUACAUGAAUACAUAACAGUGCCUAACCAAGAAGGUUUGUAAUUCAGUAAUUAGCUGUAAUUAAUGAACACAAAGUGAAGACUCAUUUACAGUUUAAAUUAUCACAUUAGCUCCUGUCACCCUCUAUGUACACAAAACAGCAGGAAUUCAAUUAUUUUUAUUCUUCAAAGCUAAUUUAAAAUUUAAGGGAUGCCAUUACAUGAAAUAAUAGGUAGGAAAUGUAAUCGAAAUCACUGGGAACAGUUGGCCGUCCUUAGAAUAAAAAAAAAAAAUGCGAUCGCUGACGAUUUGGAAAUGUUUUUUCAUCUGUGAACAGAUGAAGGAUUGAAAUCUCUGCUCUUUUCAGUGUAUUUAAUUUAAAAGAGGAAGCGAGUUUGGUGGUGGCUGAAUCUUUGUGCAGAGAGAAUCACUGUGCAUAAUUGUAAAAGCAGUUGAUAACUGAUA